GACGUAGGGCGCGAGCGUUGUCCGGAUUUAUUGGGCGUAAAGAGCUCGUAGGCGGCUUGUUGCGUCGACUGUGAAAACCCGCGGCUUAACUGCGGGCUUGCAGUUGAUACGGGCAGGCUAGAGUUCGGUAGGGGAGACUGGAAUUCCUGGUGUAGCGGUGAAAUGCGCAGAUAUCAGGAGGAACACCGGUGGCGAAGGCGGAUCUCUGGGCCUUGCCUGACGCUGAGGCGCGAAAGCUAGGGGAGCGAACAGG
RNAcentral lists this ribosomal RNA (253 nucleotides) under uncultured bacterium. RNAcentral describes it as "partial 16S ribosomal RNA". It matches the Rfam family "Bacterial small subunit ribosomal RNA", at positions 524 to 776 of the family's 1533-position model. The record is from RNAcentral.